UACGGAGGGUGCAAGCGUUAUCCGGAUUCACUGGGUUUAAAGGGUGCGUAGGUGGGUUGGUAAGUCAGUGGUGAAAUCUCCGAGCUUAACUUGGAAACUGCCAUUGAUACUAUCAGUCUUGAAUACUGUGGAGGUUAGCGGAAUAUGUCAUGUAGCGGUGAAAUGCUUAGAUAUGACAUAGAACACCAAUUGCGAAGGCAGCUGGCUACACAAUUAUUGACACUGAGGCUCGAAAGCGUGGGGAUCAAACAGG
RNAcentral lists this ribosomal RNA (253 nucleotides) under uncultured bacterium. RNAcentral's name for it is "partial 16S ribosomal RNA". It matches the Rfam family "Bacterial small subunit ribosomal RNA", at positions 524 to 776 of the family's 1533-position model. The record is from RNAcentral.